UUUUUUUUUUGAGACAGAAUCUUGCUCUGUCACCCAGGCUGGAGUACAAUGGCAUGGUCUCGGCUCACUGCAACCUCCACCUCCCAGGUUCAAGUGAUUCUCCUGCCUCAAGCUCCCGAGUUAGCUGGGAUUACAGGCGCAUGCCACCACACCCAGCUAAUUUUUGUAUUUUUAGUACAGACAGGGUUUUGCCAUGUUGGCUAGGUUGGUCUCGAACUCCUGACUUUGUGAUCCACCCACCUUGGCCUCCCAAAGUGCUGGGAUUACAGGCGUGAGCCACCGCGCUGCCCGGCCCAGGCAGGCUUUCUAGGGAAGCCAUGGAGGCAGCGACAUGCUUUCCUUCUACCCCACUCUACUGCCAACUUGGACAAAAUACACUCGGGGUCUGGGCUGGAAGGCAGAUUCCUACAAGUCCCCUCCUCUGGAGGAAGUUAAACAGCAAAGGCGUCGAGCUGCCCUGCCCGCUCCUUUUUGUGUGUAUAUACGAAGAACACAGAAACAGUGGUUCUUCUUUCAGUCAUUCCAACUAAAACAGACAUUUUGCAUAGAGAGAAUACCAGCCCACUUGGUUUCUUGUCUUUUAUUAUUGGCGUCAGCUAGGACUAUACGUGGCCUUAAACGUCAUGCACUGAUGGACAGAAGAGAAAAAA
Molecule: long non-coding RNA, 650 nt
Organism: Mandrillus leucophaeus (drill)
Lineage: Eukaryota; Metazoa; Chordata; Mammalia; Primates; Cercopithecidae
Exons: 2
Source: RefSeq, a predicted model, not a curated record